AGGUCUAGUAGAAUUAUUUGACAGAUUGGAAGCUGGAGAGCUUCGAGAAAGUUCUUUUUCUUAUCAUGUGAGGAAAUUGCACAAAAACAGGCAAGGUGCACCACGAAAAAGAGAAGGUGCCCCACCAGGGAUAAAGGGUCGAGCACGAUUCAAGCUGGAGGAAUCUUUUUAUCAGAAUCCAUACCCGGAAUGUAUUUGCAGGUCCAAAGACACGGUAAUAUGACAAAAGUUUCUAUCAGGAGAAUGUGCAAGAAAUUGAUUCUUUUACAUUUGACCCUUUUGUGGGCACAUCCCGGAGUUCCUGAUAUGUCAAAUCGGAUUGACUGAAAGAAGUACACUUAACAGAUGUCAUCAAUGUAUUGCAUCGACUACUAGGAAGGAUUUCUCCUUAUAUAAUCUUUGUACUUUAAUAUCAUAAUCCUGAUCUUUUCCUUAACAUGUGACAUGACAGUUUUUACUUAGGGUUUUGAUUGAUCAGUUCAAUUGUGUUCUGUUUAGUUUGGAAACAAUUAUGAGAACAAUUUGAAUACCA
This is a long non-coding RNA of Olea europaea var. sylvestris, 532 nucleotides long. RefSeq lists it as uncharacterized. The record is from RefSeq and is a predicted model, not a curated record. The transcript is spliced from 2 exons. Lineage: Eukaryota; Viridiplantae; Streptophyta; Magnoliopsida; Lamiales; Oleaceae.